Molecule: ribosomal RNA, 309 nt
Filed under: uncultured Candidatus Midichloria sp.
Lineage: Bacteria; Pseudomonadati; Pseudomonadota; Alphaproteobacteria; Rickettsiales; Candidatus Midichloriaceae
Description: bacterial SSU rRNA
Rfam family: Bacterial small subunit ribosomal RNA
Source: RNAcentral
CCCGGCUAACUUCGUGCCAGCAGCCGCGGUAAUACGAAGGGGGCUAGCGUUACUCGGAAUUAUUGGGCGUAAAGCGUGCGUAGGCUGCUUAGUAAGUCAAAAGUGAAAGCCUUGGGCUUAACCUAAGAAUUGCUUUUGAAACUGCUAGGCUUGAGUACUGUAGGGGAUAGCGGAAUUCCUAGUGUAGGGGUGAAAUUCGUAGAUAUUAGGAGGAACACCGGAGGCGAAAGCGGUUAUCUGGACAGUUACUGACGCUGUUGCACGAAAGCGUGGGGAGCAAACAGGAUUAGAUACCCUGGUAGUCCACGC